AAAAUUGGGUGCAAGCUUCUUCCACGAUCCUUGGAUGCCCAACCAGAUACUGCUGACACCACUGGGCCCACUCCAAGAGCAUCAGUUGAACAACCACGUUCUUCCCGGCAUUCUAGACAUAGGAAAAGUUUCUCAUUGUUUUGAGAGCUGACACAAGGGAAUUAAAGACUGUAAAAAUGAAAAGCUUGUAUAAUCCAAAAUGCAGUACAGAUACAACAGAAAGGAUCACUGUUUCUACUAGCAGCAUUGGAUUCAAGAUAUAAAUACAAGGGAGUCUGAAGCUUCUUCCCGUCUUCUUGAAGCGUACUUAUUUCAAGUUUCUUUCAACAUUUGUAAGGGGCUAUUUUUUUCUCAAAUUUUUUGAGUGGUAGUUUUAUAGUGAGUUGUUAAAAAGAAAGUUGAAAAUGCCAUAAGCUCCA
Molecule: unclassified non-coding RNA, 419 nt
Filed under: Hevea brasiliensis (rubber tree)
Lineage: Eukaryota; Viridiplantae; Streptophyta; Magnoliopsida; Malpighiales; Euphorbiaceae
Source: RNAcentral